GGCUUAGCUCAGUUGGUAGAGCAGCGCACUUGUAAUGCGAAGGUCGAGGGUUCAACUCCUUUAGCCGG
RNAcentral lists this transfer RNA (68 nucleotides) under Alcaligenes faecalis. It matches the Rfam family "tRNA". Rfam says of the family: Transfer RNA (tRNA) molecules are approximately 80 nucleotides in length. Their secondary structure includes four short double-helical elements and three loops (D, anti-codon, and T loops). Further hydrogen bonds mediate the characteristic L-shaped molecular structure. tRNAs have two regions of fundamental functional importance: the anti-codon, which is responsible for specific mRNA codon recognition, and the 3' end, to which the tRNAs corresponding amino acid is attached (by aminoacyl-tRNA synthetases). tRNAs cope with the degeneracy of the genetic code in two manners: having more than one tRNA (with a specific anti-codon) for a particular amino acid; and 'wobble' base-pairing, i.e. permitting non-standard base-pairing at the 3rd anti-codon position. The record is from RNAcentral. RNAcentral also lists the same sequence under 2 other names. Lineage: Bacteria; Pseudomonadati; Pseudomonadota; Betaproteobacteria; Burkholderiales; Alcaligenaceae.